This is a long non-coding RNA of Anopheles moucheti, 236 nucleotides long. RefSeq lists it as uncharacterized. The transcript has 3 exons. The record is from RefSeq and is a predicted model, not a curated record. NCBI's taxonomy places the organism in Eukaryota, Metazoa, Arthropoda, Insecta, Diptera, Culicidae.
CGUCUACCAAUGCGCGUUACGAAGGUGUUGAAAGUAUCCCGCUGUGUCUACUCCAAGACCCGUUCGCCGAUGCCGAGAACGAUGCGCCAUCUUCCGAAGAUCCUUUCUCAACUGCAGGCAGUAAUGUGACAAACAACAACACUCUAUCGAACAAAUUUGAUGCCAAGUUCAACAAAUCGUCCACCGGCUCGCUGGAAACGCUGGAUGAGCUGUUUAAGGGUGUACGGAUUUCAGGU